This 369-nucleotide ribosomal RNA is filed under the name uncultured organism. RNAcentral describes it as "bacterial SSU rRNA". It matches the Rfam family "Bacterial small subunit ribosomal RNA", at positions 526 to 896 of the family's 1533-position model. The record is from RNAcentral.
CGAAGGGGGCUAGCGUUGUUCGGAAUGACUGGGCGUAAAGGGCGCGUAGGCGGCCGAGUAAGUCAGGCGUGAAAGCCCCGGGCUCAACCUGGGAACGGCGCUUGAUACUGUUUGGCUUGAGGACGGGAGAGGAUGGUGGAAUUCCCAGUGUAGAGGUGAAAUUCGUAGAUAUUGGGAAGAACACCGGUGGCGAAGGCGGCCAUCUGGACCGUUUCUGACGCUGAGGCGCGAAAGCGUGGGGAGCAAACAGGAUUAGAUACCCUGGUAGUCCACGCUGUAAACGAUGUGUGCUAGACGUUGGGGGUUAAGCCUCCGGUGUCGCAGCCAACGCGUUAAGCACACCGCCUGGGGAGUACGGCCGCAAGGUUA